ACUAAAUACAUCCAAUAUUUGUGGCUGAGGCUUGUGCUAAUGGCAAAUAUAAUUGCCUCCUAAAACUGCCACAUGGAUUUGAAUCUCGGUGAAACAGAGUAUGUAAUGUGUCUGACUAGGGUGUGUCACUGUGUUGUAUUGACAAAAAAAAAGUUACAUCCAAUAUUUGAAGUAUAUGUUUCAUAACGCAUAAAAUUUCCCGAAACGUCAGAAAAUCAAUUUUCCCAACACCAAACAAAUAAAUAACAAAACAGGAAAGGAAAAAAAAAUCCCAAAACGUUGCGCUGAUUCUGCAGCAGCAAUAGAGGAACUCUUCGUAGCUAUACUUUCGAUGCUUCUGGUUGUAGCACUGAUUCCACUGUACUUAUGGAAACGCAGCCAGGAUUCUCAACCACAUCCUCACGCCGAUGAACCGGUCCAGGCUCCCCGGAGAGAAGCGGUGGUGCGCCCAGCCGGAAACCGCCGAAUGCGUCGGAGACCUGCUGCAUCUGGAGCUAGCACUCGACAGCUACGCCUGCAACUGCCGAAGGUUUGUUGUACAUUUGGAUCGAGCUGAUUCAUUUUUACUUGCGUUUGGGCGUAUUUCUUUGCAUUUGAAUGCAAUUAUUUUGUAAAUUAAAAUUCUAGGAGAUGUAAUUCGAAUUAGAAUGGAGAAUUAGGGUGUUUGUCAUUAGGCUGUUAGUAUGUGAUGUGAAGACUUGAUGUGUACACCGAUAUAAGAAUAUUUAGUCAAAUAUGUUAACUUAUUUUUUAAAUUUCAGGUAAUAACGUGAGAAUGUUAAUUUAAUAUUAUUUUUA
Non-coding RNA from Arachis ipaensis, 798 nucleotides. Lineage: Eukaryota; Viridiplantae; Streptophyta; Magnoliopsida; Fabales; Fabaceae. The record is from RefSeq and is a predicted model, not a curated record.